GAUGAACGCUGGCGGCGUGCCUAAUACAUGCAAGUCGAGCGAACAGAUAAGGAGCUUGCUCCUUUGACGUUAGCGGCGGACGGGUGAGUAACACGUGGGUAACCUACCUAUAAGACUGGGAUAACUUCGGGAAACCGGAGCUAAUACCGGAUAACAUUUGGAACCGCAUGGUUCUAAAGUGAAAGAUGGUUUUGCUAUCACUUAUAGAUGGACCCGCGCCGUAUUAGCUAGUUGGUAAGGUAACGGCUUACCAAGGCAACGAUACGUAGCCGACCUGGGAGGGUGAUCGGCCACACUGGAGCUGAGACACGGUCCAGACUCCUACGGGAGGCAGCAGUAGGGAAUCUUCCGCAAUGGGCGAAAGCCUGACGGAGCAACGCCGCGUGAGUGAUGAAGGGUUUCGGCUCGUAAAACUCUGUUAUUAGGGAAGAACAAAUGUGUAAGUAACUAUGCACAUCUUGACGGUACCUAAUCAGAAAGCCACGGCUAACUACGUGCCAGCAGCCGCCGUAA
Molecule: ribosomal RNA, 513 nt
Filed under: uncultured bacterium
Lineage: Bacteria
Description: partial 16S ribosomal RNA
Rfam family: Bacterial small subunit ribosomal RNA
Source: RNAcentral